RNAcentral lists this ribosomal RNA (253 nucleotides) under uncultured bacterium. RNAcentral's name for it is "partial 16S ribosomal RNA". It matches the Rfam family "Bacterial small subunit ribosomal RNA", at positions 524 to 776 of the family's 1533-position model. The record is from RNAcentral.
UACGUAGGGGGCGAGCGUUAUCCGGAAUUACUGGGUGUAAAGGGAGCGUAGACGGCGAGGUAAGCCUGAAGUGGAAGCCUGCGGCCCAACCGCGGAACUGCUUUGGGAACUGUUUUGCUGGAGUAUGGGAGGGGUAAGCGGAAUUCCUGGUGUAGCGGUGAAAUGCGUAGAUAUCAGGAGGAACACCGGUGGCGAAGGCGGCUUACUGGACCAUAACUGACGUUGAGGCUCGAAAGCGUGGGGAGCGAACAGG